CUCGAAUCUGUGCAGUCGAAGCAGUAAAAGGAAAGGGGACAUGAGCGAAAGAAUCGAGAACCGCAGCUCGAGUUCAAGGGGCCGUUUCUUCCUUGGGGACUCUGGGGGGAAAACUUUGUCGGCGCCUAUACACCUGCACCCGAAGCGUAUACCGAACUAUUUUUUACGUACUAACUAAUUUAUAACUCCACGUGGAAACUGUGUACAACGACGACUACGUGGUAUGCGCGAUGCAUAAAUAUGUACGUAAGUGCGAGAUGGUAUUUACAAUAACUCGUACGUUGUUAUUCCCGUAUCACAGGACCCUUGAACAGGUUUUAAUUACAUCAGGGAUAAUUUCAUUUCAUUAAUCAGACUAAUUAUUUGAACGUUAAAACGCGAAGAGGAGAGGAGCAACGGAAACGCAGCUGCUCGAUAAAAUCAAGGUGAUUCGAGAGCCUCCGAUUCCGAGCGAUCAAUCGAUCGACGCUAUUGAAAAAAGGAUAAAGAAAAAAGAAAAUUUCAGCUUCGGCAUGGAUUUCGUCAUUUUUCGGUUUCG
This 538-nucleotide unclassified non-coding RNA is filed under the name Athalia rosae (coleseed sawfly). Its description in RNAcentral is "misc RNA ENSAEAG00005002009.1". Lineage: Eukaryota; Metazoa; Arthropoda; Insecta; Hymenoptera; Athaliidae. The record is from RNAcentral.